RNAcentral lists this long non-coding RNA (405 nucleotides) under Lathyrus oleraceus (garden pea). RNAcentral's name for it is "Pisum sativum (pea) long non-coding RNA (PSAT_LNC016597)". The record is from RNAcentral. Lineage: Eukaryota; Viridiplantae; Streptophyta; Magnoliopsida; Fabales; Fabaceae.
UUGAUUAUAGUGUUGAUGCUAUUAACCAACUUCUUCGACCCGAAGCUCCCAUUGUUUUUUUGUUUAAUAUGACAAUAUCCAUGUAAUUUGAAUAUUUCUAGAAGUUGCAUCUUUUCUCUAUGGUUAAUUUUUAUGUUAUUCACACAAGUCUGGGAUUGCUCAUAGAAUAACAACGUUUUAUGUUUAGGGUGAUGGUCUUAAAAGAAAAUGUCAUAUAAAGAAAAUUAAAAAUUUAUUGUGAAAAGGUGGUACCAAUUAAAAAAAAGAUAAAUCAAAAGAGAAAAUUAGAAAACAAACAAAAAUAGAUGAAUGUGUUAGGGUGAAUAUGUGGUGUGUCUCACACAAAGGUGUUGCUCUAAAAAGAAGAAGUCUCACAAUGUUGAAUGCUUCCUAGUGAAAAAAAAC